UGGGGAAUUUUGGACAAUGGGCGAAAGCCUGAUCCAGCAAUGCCGCGUGUGUGAAGAAGGCCUUCGGGUUGUAAAGCACUUUUGUCCGGAAAGAAAUCCUUGGCUCUAAUACAGUCGGGGGAUGACGGUACCGGAAGAAUAAGCACCGGCUAACUACGUGCCAGCAGCCGCGGUAAUACGUAGGGUGCAAGCGUUAAUCGGAAUUACUGGGCGUAAAGCGUGCGCAGGCGGUUUGCUAAGACCGAUGUGAAAUCCCCGGGCUCAACCUGGGAACUGCAUUGGUGACUGGCAGGCUAGAGUAUGGCAGAGGGGGGUAGAAUUCCACGUGUAGCAGUGAAAUGCGUAGAGAUGUGGAGGAAUACCGACGGCGAAGGCAGCCCCCUGGGCCAAUACUGACGCUCAUGCACGAAAGCGUGGGGAGCAAACAGGAUUAGAUACCCUGGUAGUCCACGCCCUAAACGAUGUCAACUAGCUGUUGGGGAUUCAUUUCCUUAGUAACGUAGCUAACGCGUGAAGUUGACCGCCUGGGGGAGUACGGUCGCAAGAUUAAAACUUAAAUGAAUUGACGGGGUCAUAGCUGUUUCCU
Molecule: ribosomal RNA, 586 nt
Filed under: uncultured bacterium
Lineage: Bacteria
Description: partial 16S ribosomal RNA
Rfam family: Bacterial small subunit ribosomal RNA
Source: RNAcentral